UCCGAGUUGACCCCGGCAGUCUCCCAUGAGUCCCCAGCCACACGAAGGUGCUGUUAGCAACACGGGGCGGGGGUUGCGCUCGUUGCGGGACUUAACCCAACAUCUCACGACACGAGCUGACGACAGCCAUGCAGCACCUGUGCUGGAGAUCCGAAGAGGGGCCGAUGUUUCCACCGGCUUUCCCCAGCAUGUCAAGCCUAGGUAAGGUUCUGCGCGUUGCGUCGAAUUAAACCACAUGCUCCACCGUUUGUGCGGGCUCCCGUCAAUUCCUUUGAGUUUCAGCCUUGCGGCCGUACUCCCCAGGCGGGGCACUUCAUGCGUUAGCGCCGGUACUCCAAGGGUCGCUCCCCGGAGCACCUAGUGCCCAUCGUUUACGGCGUGGACUAC
This 387-nucleotide unclassified non-coding RNA is filed under the name uncultured Gemmatimonadaceae bacterium. Its description in RNAcentral is "contains 16S-23S intergenic spacer region". The record is from RNAcentral. Lineage: Bacteria; Pseudomonadati; Gemmatimonadota; Gemmatimonadia; Gemmatimonadales; Gemmatimonadaceae.